AAAAAUCCCCACCAUUUUGUUUCUUUACUUGCUUUUAUCUCUAAGAAUUACUCUGCCUGUUCAGAUUUCCAGUAGCUGUAAGAAAUGCAGAAGGAAUUGGGCCAACAACUAUCACAAACAUCACUACACAGCCAAACAGAGGUAAAAAAUGGGGGUAGGGAACUACUUAUUGUUGGGUUUGGGUUGUUAUAGAAUUAUCUAGUAAUAAGAUCAUUUUUUUUUCUUUGUGACUUCUUCACCCUAGAACAAUCCACAAAUGCUAUCUUGUGGUUGUCACAGAAAAAUUAUCUCUACCAAAGUGAACCAGGAACCAUGGAAGAAAUGCUAUGUAAGAAUGUCCCAUGGAUCAAAAUGCAUCACUGAUACAAAGCAAUUUUUUGAUCUUUGGGAUAACUGCUGAUCUACAUGAAAAUGAGCUCUUUAUUGCAGAUGGGCAACACAUUUGGACUGUUUCUCCAGCCAAUCUCACAAAUCCAAGACUUCUCUACAAGAGUAAUGUUACUGUGAGGGAUAUUUCUGUGGACUGGUUGUUUAAAAAGCUGUACUUUGUUGUCAACCUUAAGGUAUACUUUUGUUCUAUUUUUCCUAUAAAUUGAUCAUAUUCUUCUACCAAAUGUUUCACAAGGUGAAACACUAACAGAUUUAAAAUUGUGUUUUCAUGUAGUCACAUAAUUACAAUUAUUUACAAAAUUAAUUCAAUAAUUUUUUGAGUGCCUAGUAGUUGUAAGACACUGAAUAAGUCACUCUUUGGUGUUGAAAAUAUGUUAACUCAUUCUUUUGAAUCAUAACUUGACACAUGAUGAAAGCACAGAUUCCCUGAACACCACUAUUGACUAUCUUGGCUUUAGAUACUUAAGAAGGAAGGAAACAACAUUUAUUAAACACUUGCUGGGCUAAUACUUCAAAAAUUAUCUUAUUUGAUCCUCACAACAAUCCUGGAAGGAAGGUGCUAUUAUAAUACCCAUUUUACAGUUGAGGAAACUGAAACAAACAGAACAUCAGUGAUAUGCUUAGGGUCACAUAGCUACUAAAUGUCUGAGACUAUAUUUGUACUCAGGUCUUCCCAACUGCAGGCCCCACACACUAUCCACUGAACUAACCUGACUGCUUAUUUAAUAAUAAACAGGUUGUGGUACGUUGGUUGAGUUUAAAU
This is a long non-coding RNA of Phascolarctos cinereus (koala), 1153 nucleotides long. NCBI's taxonomy places the organism in Eukaryota, Metazoa, Chordata, Mammalia, Diprotodontia, Phascolarctidae. The record is from Ensembl.